RNAcentral lists this unclassified non-coding RNA (345 nucleotides) under soil metagenome. RNAcentral describes it as "partial contains 5.8S ribosomal RNA, internal transcribed spacer 2, and large subunit ribosomal RNA". The stretch from base 1 to 120 matches the Rfam family "5.8S ribosomal RNA", at positions 35 to 154 of the family's 154-position model. The record is from RNAcentral.
GAUGAAGAACGCAGCGAAAUGCGAUAAGUAAUGUGAAUUGCAGAAUUCCGUGAAUCAUCGAAUCUUUGAACGCACAUUGCGCCCUCUGGUAUUCCGGGGGGCAUGCCUGUCCGAGCGUCAUUUGCAACCCUCAAGCCCGGCUUGUGUGAUGGGUGCCGUCCCCUACGGGACGCGCCCCGAAGGCAAUGGCGGCGUCGCGGUUAUCCGAUCAGCCAAAGUGUAUGGGGCUUUGUCACUCACUUUACGGCCCGGACCGGCGCCAGUCCGAAUCAAUCUUUUUUCUAAAGUUGACCUCGGAUCAGGCAGGGAUACCCGCUGAACUUAAGCAUAUCAAUAACCGGAGGA